GGCGAGCUGGCGCAAUGGUAGCGUGCCAGUUUCCGGUGUAGGAUAUCGCUGGCGGUUCAGGGUUCGAGUCCCUGGCUCGUCG
Artomyces pyxidatus is the source of this 82-nucleotide non-coding RNA. The record is from the annotation of a GenBank genome assembly. Lineage: Eukaryota; Fungi; Basidiomycota; Agaricomycetes; Russulales; Auriscalpiaceae.